AGAGUUUGAUCCUGGCUCAGGACGAACGCUGGCGGCGUGCCUAACACAUGCAACUCGAGCGAAGUAGGAUGUGUUCUUCGGAAUGCGUUCUACUUAGCGGCGGACGGGUGAGUAACGCGUGAGGAACCUGCCUCUCACAGAGGGAUAGCCUCGGGAAACUGAGGGUAAUACCUCAUGAGACUUAUGUACCGCAUGGUAUGUAAGUUAAAGCGAUUUAGCGGUGAGAGAUGGCCUCGCGUCCCAUUAGCUAGUUGGUGAGGUAACGGCUCACCAAGGCGACGAUGGGUAGCCGGCCUGAGAGGGUGGACGGCCACACUGGAACUGAGACACGGUCCAGACUCCUACGGGAGGCAGCAGUGGGGGAUAUUGCACGAUGGGGGAAACCCUGAUGCAGCGACGCCGCGUGAGCGAAGAAGGCCUUCGGGUCGUAAAGCUCUG
Molecule: ribosomal RNA, 438 nt
Filed under: uncultured bacterium
Lineage: Bacteria
Description: bacterial SSU rRNA
Rfam family: Bacterial small subunit ribosomal RNA
Source: RNAcentral